Molecule: long non-coding RNA, 441 nt
Filed under: Triticum aestivum (bread wheat)
Lineage: Eukaryota; Viridiplantae; Streptophyta; Magnoliopsida; Poales; Poaceae
Description: long non-coding RNA (TAES_LNC006758)
Source: RNAcentral
UUUAACAUUUCCCUUGUCCAAAUGAUCCUUUGGACAUUGGAGAUUCAGAAAUUUCGCAGCAGGUCAUCUAGGUCAGCACUUCACACCACCAACAUAUACUACACAUUCAGUCAGGAAAACUCUUCCGUUUCAUCUUCGUCUUGCCAUGUACGUUGGUCACUGCAAUUUUGGCAUUUUGCUUUCAUUCAUGUACAGCACGAGCGGCGGUCCAGUAUUUUUGGGUGACUAUCGGCGGCGGCGAAAGCAGCAGCAAGAGAAGGAACACGAGGGAAGGCUAGGGAACUUGCACGAAGGAAGGCUAGGGAACUUGCACGAGGGAAGGCUAGGGAACUUGCACGAGGGAAGGCUAGGCAACUUCAUGGCGCAAGCGCAAGCGCAGCACCUCUUGGGGGCCCUGAACUUCGGCGCCUUGAUCGUCCUCCACCAGCCGCACCACCGGCG